This 468-nucleotide ribosomal RNA is filed under the name uncultured bacterium. Its description in RNAcentral is "partial 16S ribosomal RNA". It matches the Rfam family "Bacterial small subunit ribosomal RNA", at positions 28 to 507 of the family's 1533-position model. The record is from RNAcentral.
GACGAACGCUGGCGGCGUGCUUAACACAUGCAAGUCGAACGGAAAGGCCCUUCUUUUGUGGUGUGCUCGAGUGGCGAACGUGUGAGUAACACGUGAGUAACCUGCCCUUGACUUUGGUAUAACUUCAGGAAACUGGGUCUAAUACCGGAUAGGAGCUCCUGCUGCAUGGUGGGUUUUGGAAUGUUUCGGCGGUUGGGGAUGGACUCGCGGCUUAUCAGCUUGUUGGUGGGGUAGUGGCUUACAAAGGCUUUGACGGGUAGCCGGCCUGAGAGGGUGACCGGCAAAAUUGGGACUGAGAUACGGCCCAGACUCCUACGGGAGGAAGAAGUGGGGAAAAUUGAAAAAUGGGCGGAAGCCGGAGGCAGCAACGCCGGGUGCGGGAUGACGGCCUUCGGGUGGUAAACCGCUUUCGCCAGGGACGAAGCGUGAGUGACGGUAAUGGGUAAAGAAGCACCGGCUAACUACGUG